Molecule: long non-coding RNA, 2391 nt
Organism: Pygocentrus nattereri (red-bellied piranha)
Lineage: Eukaryota; Metazoa; Chordata; Actinopteri; Characiformes; Serrasalmidae
Exons: 3
Source: RefSeq, a predicted model, not a curated record
GGCCUAUUCGGCUACAGGCAUUAGACUUAACUGUUCAUGUCUGUGGCCACACAAGUCUUCUUAUUUUUAAAAACAAAUAUGUACAGAUGUUGACAGAAUACCUUAAUUUAAGUAAUAUUUAACCAAGAGUAUUUCUGGUUUUAUUCAAAUAAGUAACACUUGUCUUACAUUACGGGUAAGAAGUUGUGUACUUUGUCCACCCUGCUCCUUGCUGACCACCUAAACCUAAAAGAGGCUGGGAAGAAAGGUAUUUCUGAGCCGUCCAUCUGCUGCCUCUGUUUCUCGCCUGCUCAGGACUUACAGCUUGUCCCAGAAGCAUUUCAUGAAGAAUCCACAUUCACACACUGCAAGUGACAAAGAAAUUGACCAGAGACCUCUGCAUCUGUUAAGCACUGAGUAUAUUUAGCAUUACAGGGUAGAGGUCAGAUGUUCAUUCUCUUGCUGUCUCUUUCUUUCCCACACAUAUGCUACAAAUACACUCAGUGCUCAUUCUUUAAGGUCCACCUAACUUACAGAUUGUAAUUCAUCUGUUUUGCUGCAUACAUUCUUAGCCCCCUUUCACUGUGGUUAUGACCCCGACAGGACCACCACAAAGCAAGUGUAAUUUGGGUGGUGGAUCAUUGUCAGCACUGAUGUGGAUCGGGGUAUGUUAGUGUGUGUUGCACUGGUACGAGUGGAUCAGACACAGCAGUACUUAAACACCCUGUCCAUCACUGUCCACUCUAUUAGGCACUCCUACCUUCUGGCCACUUUCUAUGUAUAAAGUUACAAAUUAUAGCGUAUCUUCAUCUGUUGCACAGUGUGUGUUGGUCAUCCUCUAAUCCUUCAUCAGUGGUCACAGGACGCUGUUGGCAGGAUGUUUUUGAUUGGUGGACUAUUCUCAGUUCAGCAGUGACACUGAGGUGUUUAAAAACAUUGUUGUAUCUGAUACACUAGUACCAGUACCAUACACACAACCAUGUCAGCACCGCUACAGUGCUGUGAAUCAAAUAACAAUAAUACCUGCUCUGUGGUGGUCUUGUAGGGGUCCUGGUCUUUGAUGAACGGGGUGGAAUUGGCUUAACAAGUUAUAUACAGAAGCAGCUGAACUACAGUGUUCAAUUUAAGAUCUACAAAGUGCACCUUAAUAUUAAGUGGACCUGAUUUAAUGGAAAAUGAGUGUAGAUACAAGGUAGCUGUACCUAAUAAAGUGGCCAGUGAGUUUAUACAUAUAAGCAUGAUGAUGUACUGCGCAUGACAGUUUUUUGUAAACACCAUCGUAACUUUAUUUACCUGUGUAUUUUCUAUUCCAACCGUGUGUCUGACUUGUGUGCAAAAUUUGUUUAGACAAUUAAAGCAAUUGUUUCAGAAAGAUUUCUGAUGUAAUCAGUUAAUCAGUUCAUACAUGCAUACAGGUGGACACAGCUGAGCUUUAAGAAUUGUUACCUUUUCAAGACGUGGUAGAGUACAACGUGGCUUCAUACCUGAUGAUGCACAUUAAUUUUUAAACCUGUGGAAGUUGCUUGCUCAGGUGUGUUCACCUAUGUUGUACUGUCUACACUGGGAUUGGACUUGCCUGGUCUCUUCUGAGUGGUAAUGUUUACCUUAAAUAAUUGAGGAAAGCGGUGAGAAAGAGCAAUUUGGUUUUCUUAUGAGCUUGUUUGAAUCCUCUGCUAUGCUCGGUCUGUUACAUCUGAGCAGAUGCUUUUGAUUGAGCUGGGCUUUUGAUUAAUAAAGAAAGCAGUUUAGAUGUAUGCAGAAAGUAAUUGGAUGUGAAAAAAAAAAUUCCAAAUAAAAUGUUUCAAUAUAUGUUUAAUUAUAGGAUAAGCAUAAUGUAAUUAUACAAUAAAUAAUAGUUAUUUUUGUGUAAGUAAUAGUCACAAUGUAAAUAUUUUUUAGUUACCAGAAUCAGGCCAGUCCUGGCGCAGUGUUGUUAAAAGAUAUAGUGGAAAUGUAUUAGUUUAUUAAUAAUUUUUUUAGUUUAUUAAACCAUUUUUUAGUUUUGGAACCCAGUGUAAAUGUAAAGUUAAUUAAGUUAAUGUAAAGAAGUGACGAACUAACUUAAGCAGUUUGGCCCACUGUUUGUCAGUGUUGAUCUUUAAGUCUGUGCAACAAUGGAACAAAAAGUUGAAUAAACUCUUAAAGCUGUGCAAACAAGUUACUAAGUAAUUUCAAGUUUGGCCGCCUUAACAUUUAUUCACAGUGUACCAAAAGUUCCGCUGUAAGUCAGGGAAGAUGAGAAACUUCAAGGACAUAAAAUCUUUGCCAGCUCUUACUGGAACCCAAACAUGACUCCAUGACAUAACGAACUGCGUUCGUUACCCUGAAAUGCAAUUCUUUUGUGGGCUCCCUUACAUUUACAGCAGUUUGCUGACGCUCUUAUCCAGAGCAAUUAUCAAUUUGAUCAUUGUA